AUUGAACGCUGGCGGCAUGCCUUACACAUGCAAGUCGAACGGCAGCACGGGUGCUUGCACCUGGUGGCGAGUGGCGAACGGGUGAGUAAUACAUCGGAACGUACCUUAUCGUGGGGGAUAACGCAGCGAAAGCUGUGCUAAUACCGCAUACGCCCUGAGGGGGAAAGCGGGGGAUCGCAAGACCUCGCGCGAUUAGAGCGGCCGAUGCCUGGUUAGCUUGUUGGUGGGGUAAAAGCCCACCAAGGCGACGAUCAGUAGCUGGUCUGAGAGGACGAUCGGCCACACGGGGACUGGGACACGGCCCAGACUCCUGCGGGAGGCAGAGGUGGGGAAUUUGGGACAAUGGGGGCAACCCUGAUCCAGCAAUGCCGCGUGAGUGAAGAAGGCCUUCUGGUUGUAAAGCUCUUUUGUCAGGGAAGAAACACCGGCUCUAACACAGUCUGGGAAUGACGGUACCUGAAGAAUAAGCACCGGCUAACUACGUGCCAGCCGCCGCGGUAA
RNAcentral lists this ribosomal RNA (501 nucleotides) under uncultured bacterium. RNAcentral describes it as "partial 16S ribosomal RNA". It matches the Rfam family "Bacterial small subunit ribosomal RNA", at positions 29 to 523 of the family's 1533-position model. The record is from RNAcentral.